CCUACGGGUGGCAGCAGUAGGGAAUAUUGCUCAAUGGGGGAAACCCUGAAGCAGCAACGCCGCGUGGAGGAAGAAGGUUUUCGGAUUGUAAACUUCUUUUGUUAGAGAAGAUAAUGACGGUAUCUAACGAAUAAGCACCGGCUAACUCCGUGCCAGCAGCCGCGGUAAUACGGAGGGUGCAAGCGUUACUCGGAUUCACUGGGCGUAAAGAGCGCGUAGGCGGGAUAGCAAGUCAGAUGUGAAAUCCUAUGGCUCAACCAUAGAACUGCAUUGGAAACUGUUAUUCUAGAGUAUGGGAGAGGUAAGUGGAAUUCUGGGUGUAGGGGUAAAAUGCGUAGAGAUCAGGAGGAAUACUCAUUGCGAAGGCGACCUGCUAGACCAUAACUGACGCUGAUGCGCGAAAGCGUGGGGAGCAAACAGGAUUAGAUACCCCAGUAGUC
This 440-nucleotide ribosomal RNA is filed under the name uncultured bacterium. RNAcentral's name for it is "partial 16S ribosomal RNA". It matches the Rfam family "Bacterial small subunit ribosomal RNA", at positions 338 to 795 of the family's 1533-position model. The record is from RNAcentral.